This 89-nucleotide transfer RNA is filed under the name Limisphaerales bacterium. Its description in RNAcentral is "tRNA-Ser". It matches the Rfam family "tRNA". From Rfam's summary of the family: Transfer RNA (tRNA) molecules are approximately 80 nucleotides in length. The record is from RNAcentral. Lineage: Bacteria; Pseudomonadati; Verrucomicrobiota; Verrucomicrobiia; Limisphaerales. RNAcentral also lists the same sequence under 3 other names.
GGAGAGAUGGCUGAGUGGUUUAAGGCACACGCCUGGAAAGCGUGCGUGGCUAAAACCCACCGAGGGUUCGAAUCCCUCUCUCUCCGCCA